RNAcentral lists this ribosomal RNA (560 nucleotides) under Pseudetroplus maculatus (orange chromide). RNAcentral's name for it is "partial large subunit ribosomal RNA". It matches the Rfam family "Bacterial large subunit ribosomal RNA", at positions 1861 to 2618 of the family's 2925-position model. Lineage: Eukaryota; Metazoa; Chordata; Actinopteri; Cichliformes; Cichlidae. The record is from RNAcentral.
GCCCUGUGACCAUGAGUUUAACGGCCGCGGUAUUUUGACCGUGCAAAGGUAGCGCAAUCACUUGUCUUUUAAAUGAAGACCUGUAUGAAUGGCAUAACGAGGGCUUAACUGUCUCCCUUUUCCAGUCAAUGAAAUUGAUCUCCCCGUGCAGAAGCGGGGAUUAAAACAUAAGACGAGAAGACCCUAUGGAGCUUUAGACAAAGAGCAGACCAUGUUAAACACACCUAAAUAAAGGACAAAACCAAUUGGCCCCUGCCCUUAUGUCUUUGGUUGGGGCGACCGCGGGGAAACAAAAAACCCCCAUGUGGACUGAAGACAUUCCUCUUCACAACCAAGAGCCACAGCUCUAAGCAACAGAACAUCUGACCAACAAGAUCCGGCACUAAGCCGAUCAACGGACCGAGUUACCCUAGGGAUAACAGCGCAAUCUCCUUUUAGAGCCCCCAUCGACAAGGAGGUUUACGACCUCGAUGUUGGAUCAGGACAUCCUAAUGGUGCAGCCGCUAUUAAGGGUUCGUUUGUUCAACGAUUAAAGUCCUACGUGAUCUGAGUUCAAACCG